GACGAACGCUGGCGGCGUGCUUAACACAUGCAAGUCGAGCGGAGCGGCGAACGGGUGAGUAAGGCGUGAGUAACUGCCCCCCUCCCUGGGAUAACAGUUGGAAACGGCUGCUAAUACCGGAUAGUGGGGGAUGACUCGCGGCCUAUCCGCUUGUUGGUGGGGUAGUGGCCUACCAAGGCGACGACGGGUAGCCGGCCUGGGAGGGAGACCGGCCACAUUGGGCAUGGAUGCGGCCAGAACUGCUACUGGAGGAAGGAGUGGGGAAUAGUGGCCGAUGGGGGAAGCCUUGAUGGAGCAACGCCGCGUGGGGGAUUACUGCCUUCGGGUUGGAAGCCGCUUUCGGCCAUGACUCGGUAGUGGCAGAAGAAGCACCGGCUAACUACGUGCCAGCCGCCGCGGUAUUC
This 404-nucleotide ribosomal RNA is filed under the name uncultured bacterium. RNAcentral's name for it is "partial 16S ribosomal RNA". It matches the Rfam family "Bacterial small subunit ribosomal RNA", at positions 28 to 525 of the family's 1533-position model. The record is from RNAcentral.